CACCACCCCCAACCUGGACCCCAUCCAAUAGGCUCGUGGUCCCUGAUGGUCCUGGACCACUGAUUUGAGGCCUUUCUGCUUCCUUUGAUUCAGUCUUUGGCAGAGACCCAGGAGCAGGAGUCCUUGAUGGCACCUGGCCCUUUCUAGUCACCGACAAGGGAAACCUGAGAAACCAUUCUCAGAAAUGGAACUAAAUUGACACAGCAUUUGUCUCCUCCAGAGGAUACAGCACCAAGGCGCCAUCUUGGAAGUAGACUGGAGCUCUUAGCAGACCAGAACCUGUGGGUGUGUUGAUCUUGUACUUCCUGACCUCCAGAACUGCCUCCUAAGACGAUGUUGCUGGAUGUCCCCUGCUGACCCCACAGACUGGCUCCUCUGGUGUCCGCUGACUUGGCCUGGUGAGAAGGGCAGGGCCAGGCCCUUCCCUGUCUCGACCUGCAUUCCCACCCAACACAGCAAGC
This 461-nucleotide long non-coding RNA is filed under the name Homo sapiens (human). Its description in RNAcentral is "HSALNT0360421". The record is from RNAcentral. Lineage: Eukaryota; Metazoa; Chordata; Mammalia; Primates; Hominidae.